This 491-nucleotide long non-coding RNA is filed under the name Zonotrichia albicollis (white-throated sparrow). Its description in RNAcentral is "lncRNA (ENSZALG00000013652.1)". The record is from RNAcentral. Lineage: Eukaryota; Metazoa; Chordata; Aves; Passeriformes; Passerellidae.
AAGGGAGAGAGCAUUCACUACUGAGUUGGCAAGGUUUUACAGAAUGGUUUUUGUCAUCCCUACAGGUAAAACAUGAAGAGGUGGCCAAAGGUGUCCAUAAACAAAAAGUUGGUUAAGAAGGUUGGACUACAGCUGCCCUGAAAGCUCUUCCAUUAAAAGCAAAUCCAUCUCAUUGCCCAUAUGAGGCAGAAGAUCACGAAGAAGUAGCUGGAUCCUUACAUGACACCCCAGUGAGCCUUGGGAGAUGGAGGGGGCAGUUGGCAUUGAGUUGAUUCCGGAGUUAUUUCCUGAUUAUGGAUUAAUUCUUGCCUUACUAAGAUCAGUAUUGAAACACCAAGCAUCAUUAGAUGCAUCUCCCAGGUUUCCAGCUGAAGAUUUCACCAUGGUAGAAAAUAAGCCAACCAUCCUAUUCCAUCAACAAUAGUGCCUCUGUGUUUUAUAAACAUAAAAAGCAGCGUCUUAUAAAUAGGGAUUAUAAAAGAAACAUCUCU